UGCAGUCGAACGAUGAUGCCCAGCUUGCUGGGUGGAUUAGUGGCGAACGGGUGAGUAACACGUGAGUAACCUGCCCCUGACUCUGGGAUAAGCGUUGGAAACGACGUCUAAUACUGGAUAUGACUGCCGGCCGCAUGGUCUGGUGGUGGAAAGAUUUUUUGGUUGGGGAUGGACUCGCGGCCUAUCAGCUUGUUGGUGAGGUAAUGGCUCACCAAGGCGACGACGGGUAGCCGGCCUGAGAGGGUGACCGGCCACACUGGGACUGAGACACGGCCCAGACUCCUACGGGAGGCAGCAGUGGGGAAUAUUGCACAAUGGGCGAAAGCCUGAUGCAGCAACGCCGCGUGAGGGAUGACGGCCUUCGGGUUGUAAACCUCUUUUAGUAGGGAAGAAGCGUAAGUGACGGUACCUGCAGAAAAAGCACCGGCUAACUACGUGCCAGCAGCCGCGGUAAUACGUAGGGUGCAAGCGUUGUCCGGAAUUAUUGGGCGUAAAGAGCUCGUAGGCGGUUUGUCGCGUCUGCUGUGAAAUCCCGAGGCUCAACCUCGGGCUUGCAGUGGGUACGGGCAGACUAGAGUGCGGUAGGGGAGAUUGGAAUUCCUGGUGUAGCGGUGGAAUGCGCAGAUAUCAGGAGGAACACCGAUGGCGAAGGCAGAUCUCUGGGCCGUAACUGACGCUGAGGAGCGAAAGCGUGGGGAGCGAACAGGAUUAGAUACCCUGGUAGUCCACGCCGUAAACGUUGGGCGCUAGAUGUAGGGACCUUUCCACGGUUUCUGUGUCGUAGCUAACGCAUUAAGCGCCCCGCCUGGGGAGUACGGCCGCAAGGCUAAAACUCAAAGGAAUUGACGGGGGCCCGCACAAGCGGCGGAGCAUGCGGAUUAAUUCGAUGCAACGCGAAGAACCUUACCAAGGCUUGACAUACACCGGAAACGGCCAGAGAUGGUUGCCCCCUUGUGGUCGGUGUACAGGUGGUGCAUGGUUGUCGUCAGCUCGUGUCGUGAGAUGUUGGGUUAAGUCCCGCAACGAGCGCAACCCUCGUUCUAUGUUGCCAGCGCGUUAUGGCGGGGACUCAUAGGAGACUGCCGGGGUCAACUCGGAGGAAGGUGGGGAUGACGUCAAAUCAUCAUGCCCCUUAUGUCUUGGGCUUCACGCAUGCUACAAUGGCCGGUACAAAGGGCUGCGAUACCGUAAGGUGGAGCGAAUCCCAAAAAGCCGGUCUCAGUUCGGAUUGAGGUCUGCAACUCGACCUCAUGAAGUCGGAGUCGCUAGUAAUCGCAGAUCAGCAACGCUGCGGUGAAUACGUUCCCGGGCCUUGUACACACCGCCCGUCAAGUCAUGAAAGUCGGUAACACCCGAAGCCGGUGGCCUAAC
RNAcentral lists this ribosomal RNA (1371 nucleotides) under uncultured bacterium. RNAcentral describes it as "bacterial SSU rRNA". It matches the Rfam family "Bacterial small subunit ribosomal RNA". The record is from RNAcentral.